UAUGGUUCGAAUCGGCAUGCUCCAGUGAAUCUAAAGAGACCAGUUUUGAUUUUUGGCCAAAUCAUUCAAACGUUAUAAGCAAAAAUAGCAAUUUUACAAAUGUUCUGACCACUAGGUGGUGCUGUGCUGAAAUUUAAUCUCAGGUCAUGGUUGUGAUGACAUGGACUAAGUUUGGUCUGAAUACAUUAACCAUUGAGGAGAUACAGCCUUAUGCCUAUUUUCACAA
Long non-coding RNA from Carassius gibelio (silver crucian carp), 226 nucleotides. RefSeq lists it as uncharacterized. The transcript is spliced from 2 exons. Lineage: Eukaryota; Metazoa; Chordata; Actinopteri; Cypriniformes; Cyprinidae. The record is from RefSeq and is a predicted model, not a curated record.